UCUCGGCUUAUCACCGGCAGUCCCCCUAGAGUGCCCAACUGAAUGAUGGCAACUAAGGGCGAGGGUUGCGCUCGUUGCGGGACUUAACCUGACAUCUCACGACACGAGCUGACGACAGCCAUGCAGCACCUGUGUUCCACCCACCCGAAGUGAAGGACCUGAUCUCUCAGGCCCAUAGUGGACAUGUCAAGGACUGGUAAGGUUCUUCGCGUUGCGUCGAAUUAAACCACAUACUCCACCGCUUGUGCGGGCCCCCGUCAAUUCAUUUGAGUUUCAACCUUGCGGUCGUACUCCCCAGGCGGGGUACUUCCUGCGUUAGCGCCGGCACCCAGAGGGUCGCUCCCCCAGGCACCUAGUACCCAUCGUUUACGGCGUGGACUAC
RNAcentral lists this unclassified non-coding RNA (382 nucleotides) under uncultured bacterium. RNAcentral's name for it is "contains 16S-23S intergenic spacer region". The record is from RNAcentral.